AUUGAACGCUGGCGGCAGGCCUAACACAUGCAAGUCGAGCGGAUGAAGGGAGCUUGCUCCUGGAUUCAGCGGCGGACGGGUGAGUAAUGCCUAGGAAUCUGCCUGGUAGUGGGGGAUAACGUCCGGAAACGGGCGCUAAUACCGCAUACGUCCUGAGGGAGAAAGUGGGGGAUCUUCGGACCUCACGCUAUCAGAUGAGCCUAGGUCGGAUUAGCUAGUUGGUGGGGUAAAGGCCUACCAAGGCGACGAUCCGUAACUGGUCUGAGAGGAUGAUCAGUCACACUGGAACUGAGACACGGCCCAGACUCCUACGGGAGGCAGCGGUGGGGAAUAUUGGACAAUGGGCGAAAGCCUGAUCCAGCCAUGCCGCGUGUGUGAAGAAGGUCUUCGGAUUGUAAAGCACUUUAAGUUGGGAGGAAGGGCAGUAAGUUAAUACCUUGCUGUUUUGACGUUACCAACAGAAUAAGCACCGGCUAACUUCGUG
This 484-nucleotide ribosomal RNA is filed under the name uncultured bacterium. RNAcentral's name for it is "partial 16S ribosomal RNA". It matches the Rfam family "Bacterial small subunit ribosomal RNA", at positions 30 to 507 of the family's 1533-position model. The record is from RNAcentral.